CUGUAAAGUGGGAUGAUCUUCCGCCACUCAGGCCAGGUGGUGGUUAGGAUUAAACCCUGAAGUCGACCUGAGCAGCUUAGCCUGGCGCCUGACCCAGAGCGGGCGCUCCACGCCCGCUGAUAUUAUUACUAAUUGUUUUCGGGAGAGGCAGAUUUGGGGCGUAGAGGGUGGGUGGGUUGAGGAGGGCAUUUUGGCCUGGGGGCGGAUGGGGCCCGCGGGGUGGGGCGCCCUGGGGGAGUGGGAGGCGGGGCUUCUGUGCCCGGUGUCCCCACCCCGCCCGGACCCCGGCUCGGGCCGUGCCUGGGUCUCUCCCGGGUCACCGGCGGGGAAUCCGUCCCCGCGCGCUUCCUCCUUCCUCCUCCUCCCGGCUGCCUGCCGGGCCCCUCCUCCCAGCUCGCGCGCUCCCUCCCUCCUCUUCCCUCCCCUCCCCGGGCCGCCGCCGCCUCCUCCUCCUCCUCCUCCCUUUCUCUCUCGAUCUGUCUCUCCCGGCCCGGAAUCCAUUCCGGCCUGGGAGCCGGAGCGGCCAGGCCGCCGUCUGCCCUACCCGCUGGCCGUCCCGCGGUCCGCCCUCCUGUGCGUCCGUCUGCCGGUGCGCCCGCCCGCCCGCCGGCCCAGAACUACCCAGAGAAGUUCCAGAGUAAAAGGAGAAGCCGGAAGGGAGGAGAAGUUGAAUGAUCUUGGCCAAAUCCCUUCCUGUCUGGUCCUCAGUUUCCUCAGUAUGGUGAGGGCUCCUCCCUUUGGGGCUCUGUGAUGGUAAUCCUAGCUGGGGAGUGUUCCAGGGGCAGGCCCAGUGGAGUCCUCUUAGAUGCUCAUGUAG
Molecule: long non-coding RNA, 817 nt
Filed under: Piliocolobus tephrosceles (Ugandan red Colobus)
Lineage: Eukaryota; Metazoa; Chordata; Mammalia; Primates; Cercopithecidae
Description: lncRNA (ENSPTEG00000017316.1)
Source: RNAcentral